CCAAUAGCGUAUAUUAAAGUUGUUGCAGUUAAAAAGCUCGUAGUUGAACUUCGGGGUCUACCCAUUGGUCAGGCUUAAUUGUUUGCACUGGUGAGAUGGAUCUCUACCUUCUGAGGAACUUUCAUGCCAUUUAUUUGGUGUGAUGGGAAAUCAGGACUGUUACUUUGAAAAAAUUAGAGUGUUUAAAGCAGACUAUCGUCUGAAUACAUUAGCAUGGAAUAAUGAAAUAGGACGGACUGAUUCUAUUUCGUUGGUUUCUAGGAUCACCGUAAUGAUUAAUAGGGAUAGUUGGGGGCAUUAGUAUUCAAUUGUCAGAGGUGAAAUUCUUGGAUUUAUUGAAGACUAACUACUGCGAAAGCAUUUGCCAAGGAUGUUUUCAUUAAUCAAGAACGAAAGUUAGGGGAUCGAAGACGAUCAGAUACCGUCGUAGUCUUAACCAUAAACUAUGCCGACUAGGGAUCGGACGAAGUUAAUUUUAUAAUGACGCGUUCGGCACCUUACG
This 502-nucleotide ribosomal RNA is filed under the name uncultured Glomeromycotina. RNAcentral's name for it is "partial small subunit ribosomal RNA". It matches the Rfam family "Eukaryotic small subunit ribosomal RNA", at positions 591 to 1092 of the family's 1831-position model. Lineage: Eukaryota; Fungi; Glomeromycota. The record is from RNAcentral.